GCGUGGCUGCGCUUCCCGUCAGGAAACAUAUCCCCGGGGCCUUACGCAUUUCCUAGGGAGCUGUCCCUGUUUGGACCCGUGGGUCCGAGCACACGGCGCCCACCUACUCUGUAGGUUUCCCGGGAUUGCGAAUUCCAACGGUCGUUGUGGCUACGCA
Molecule: non-coding RNA, 157 nt
Filed under: Pannonibacter tanglangensis
Lineage: Bacteria; Pseudomonadati; Pseudomonadota; Alphaproteobacteria; Hyphomicrobiales; Stappiaceae
Description: Pannonibacter sp. XCT-34 6S RNA
Rfam family: 6S / SsrS RNA
About the family: E. coli 6S RNA was the first non coding RNA to be sequenced, but its function was unknown until recently. It consists of 184 nucleotides that fold into an extended hairpin structure with a large single-stranded internal bulge.
Source: RNAcentral